ACUGCUUGCAACAAAGGUAGGUUGGUAAAGUUUAUUUGCGUUUAGAAAUUAGAAUCGUGUCUGCGUUUUUAACUGAUGUGAAGCGAAUUGGGGUCGGUAAUUUUUCGGUUUGGAAUGGGUAAUGGUCUAAUGGAUUUGGAAUUGUUUGUUGGGUUUGGUAAAGUUUUCGGUUUGACCAUUUGGGUAGAAAAUUUGAAGAAAGAAAAAAGACAGAAAAAGAAACUGUAGCUUGUUAAUCCAGGAAGUCUUUUCUCGACGUUGUUUGAUUGUUUAAUGAACAUAUAUUUGGAAAAUUAGAGAAUGAAGAUCUUGAAAUUAAUUUAUUGUCUAAUUUCCUCAUUUGAUCCUUACAAUAUUAUUCUCAAUUAUGUAGUUAUGUUUAGUUCACUAAUAAUCAUCUACUUCAUAUUUUACAGCAGCUGAGUCGCCUACCGCCCCGAA
RNAcentral lists this unclassified non-coding RNA (441 nucleotides) under Hevea brasiliensis (rubber tree). Lineage: Eukaryota; Viridiplantae; Streptophyta; Magnoliopsida; Malpighiales; Euphorbiaceae. The record is from RNAcentral.